UUUAUUAAAAACAUGGCCUUUUGAGAUUAAUUUAAGGUUUGACCUGCCCAAUGAUAAAAGGUUAUUUAAUGGCCGCAGUAUUUUGACUGUGCAAAGGUAGCAUAAUCAUUAGUUUUUUAAUUGAAAGCUUGUAUGAAAGGUUUGAUGAGAAAAUGACUGUCUCUAUUUAAAUUUAUUAAAAUUUUAUUUUUAAGUAAGAAAGCUUAAAUAUUUAUUGAAGACGAGAAGACCCUAUAGAGUUUUAUAUUGUUUUAAAUUAAUAAAUUUUUAGGAUUAAAAUUUUAUUUUAAAAUAGUAUUUGAUUGGGGUGAUUAAAAAAUUAAUUUAACUUUUUUUAAAAAAAAUCAUAGAUUUAUGAAUAAAUGAUCCUUAUAUUAAGAUUAAAAGAAUAAAUUACCUUAGGGAUAACAGCGUAAUAUUUUUUUAGAGUUCAAAUUAAAAAAAAAGUUUGCGACCUCGAUGUUGGAUUAAAAGAAAUUAUUGGUGUAGAAGCUAAUAAGGAGGGUCUGUUCGACCUUUAUAAUUUUACAUGAUCUGAGUUUAAACCGGCGUGAGCCAGGU
RNAcentral lists this ribosomal RNA (561 nucleotides) under Acalles sp. ARC3535. RNAcentral describes it as "partial 16S ribosomal RNA". It matches the Rfam family "Bacterial large subunit ribosomal RNA", at positions 1803 to 2631 of the family's 2925-position model. The record is from RNAcentral. Lineage: Eukaryota; Metazoa; Arthropoda; Insecta; Coleoptera; Curculionidae.